Molecule: ribosomal RNA, 530 nt
Filed under: uncultured bacterium
Lineage: Bacteria
Description: partial 16S ribosomal RNA
Rfam family: Bacterial small subunit ribosomal RNA
Source: RNAcentral
GACGAACGCUGGCGGCGUGCCUAAUACAUGCAAGUCGAACGAACUCUGGUAUCGAUUGGUGCUUGCAUCAUGAUUUACAUUUGAGUGAGUGGCGAACUGGUGAGUAACACGUGGGAAACCUGCCCAGAAGCGGGGGAUAACACCUGGAAACAGAUGCUAAUCCCGCAUAACAACUUGGACCGCAUGGUCCGAGUUUGAAAGAUGGCUUCGGCUAGCACUUUUGGAUGGUCCCGCGGCGUAUUAGCUAGAUGGUGGGGUAACGGCUCACCAUGGCAAUGAUACGUAGCCGACCUGAGAGGGUAAUCGGCCACAUUGGGACUGAGACACGGCCCAAACGCCUACGGGAGGCAGCAGUAGGGAAUCUUCCACAAUGGACGAAAGUCUGAUGGAGCAACGCCGCGUGAGUGAAGAAGGGUUUCGGCUCGUAAAACUCUGUUGUUAAAGAAGAACAUAUCUGAGAGUAACUGUUCAGGUAUUGACGGUAUUUAACCAGAAAGCCACGGCUAACUACGUGCCAGCCGCCGCCGUAA